Molecule: ribosomal RNA, 441 nt
Filed under: uncultured bacterium
Lineage: Bacteria
Description: partial 16S ribosomal RNA
Rfam family: Bacterial small subunit ribosomal RNA
Source: RNAcentral
CCUACGGGAGACAUCAGUGGGGGAUAUUGCACAAUGGGGGGAACCCUGAUGCAGCGACGCCGCGUGGGUGAAGGAGUGCUUCGGCAUGUAAAGCCCUAUCGGCAGGGAAGAAGCAAGACGGUACCUGACUAAGAAGCCCCGGCUAACUACGUGCCAGCAGCCGCGGUAAUACGUAGGGGGCGAGCGUUAUCCGGAUUCACUGGGUGUAAAGGGAGCGUAGACGGCCAUGCAAGCCAGGGGUGAAAGCCCGGGGCCCAACCCCGGGACUGCCCUUGGAACUGUGCGGCUAGAGUGCGGGAGGGGCAGGCGGAAUUCCUGGUGUAGCGGUGAAAUGCGUAGAUAUCAGGAGGAACACCGGCGGCGAAGGCGGCCUGCUGGACUGCGACUGACGUUGAGGCUCGAAAGCGUGGGGAGCGAACAGGAUUAGAUACCCCAGUAGUC